GAGACCAAGUUUUCCUGCUUCUGCUGCACUUAAUCCCACACACAGAAAAAGUUUAAGAUUAUGAAGAAAAUGUGACGGUCACUAUUUUGGUAAACGUACGUGGCUGCACGAAAAAUUGUUGAACGAAUAAAAUGACUAAAAUGUGGUCGUUCGUCGUGUGGACUCGUGGUGUUGACCAGUGUGGAGGCUCAAGGCUCUCCAACCAUGCUGUUUGGCAGAUAAACAGCAUCCUUUUGGAUUGGAGGAACUGCCGAUGUCAAUCGAGUUACGGAUGUCUUCUUCCCCUUCCGUUCAAUCUCCUCUGUCCUCGUGUACACCCAUGUGAGUGUGGGUGUAUUCACGAGUCUGAGGCCCUUUUUUCCUAUCCCGCCUGGUGUAAUUCAACUUUGAUGGUCUAAGCACCUGUGGAUACCCGGCCGUAUUUCCCAGGCUUUAAGAUAAACAGCAUUAGCAGCAACAGCAGUGAUUGGAGAA
This is a long non-coding RNA of Daphnia pulex (common water flea), 474 nucleotides long. RefSeq lists it as uncharacterized. NCBI's taxonomy places the organism in Eukaryota, Metazoa, Arthropoda, Branchiopoda, Diplostraca, Daphniidae. The record is from RefSeq and is a predicted model, not a curated record. The transcript is spliced from 3 exons.